UUGUUGGUGAGGUAAAGGCUUACCAAGGCUUCGAUCAGUAGCUGGUCUGAGAGGACGGCCAGCCACACUGGGACUGAGACACGGCCCAGACUCCUACGGGAGGCAGCAGUGGGGAAUUUUGGACAAUGGGGGCAACCCUGAUCCAGCCAUGCCGCGUGAGUGAAGAAGGCCUUCGGGUUGUAAAGCUCUUUCAGCCGGAACGAAACGGUUACGGUUAAUACCCGUGACUACUGACGGUACCGGAAGAAGAAGCACCGGCUAACUACGUGCCAGCAGCCGCGGUAAUACGUAGGGUGCAAGCGUUAAUCGGAAUUACUGGGCGUAAAGCGUGCGCAGGUGGUUUUGUAAGUCAGAUGUGAAAUCCCCGGGCUUAACCUGGGAACUGCGUUUGAAACUACAAGGCUAGAGUGUGGCAGAGGGGGGUGGAAUUCCGCGUGUAGCAGUGAAAUGCGUAGAUAUGUGGAGGAACACCGAUGGCGAAGGCAGCCCCCUGGGUCAACACUGACGCUCAGGCACGAAAGCAUGGGGAGCAAACAGGAUUAGAUACCCUGGUAGUCCAUGCCCUAAACGAUGUCAACUAGUUGUCGGGCCUUAACGGGCUUGGUAACGUAGCUAACGCGUGAAGUUGACCGCCUGGGGAGUACGAUCGCAAGAUUAAAACUCAAAGGAAUUGACGGGGACCCGCACAAGCGGUGGAUUAUGUGGAUUAAUUCGAUGCAACGCGAAAAACCUUACCUACCCUUGACAUGUAUCGAAGCCCGCAGAGAAGCGGGUGUGCCCGAAAGGGAACGAUAACACAGGUGCUGCAUGGCUGUCGUCAGCUCGCGUCGUGAGAUGUUGGGUUAAGUCCCGCAACGAGCGCAACCCUUGUCAUUAAUUGCCAUCAUUUAGUUGGGCACUUUAAUGAGACUGCCGG
RNAcentral lists this ribosomal RNA (916 nucleotides) under uncultured bacterium. Its description in RNAcentral is "bacterial SSU rRNA". It matches the Rfam family "Bacterial small subunit ribosomal RNA", at positions 246 to 1155 of the family's 1533-position model. The record is from RNAcentral.